GGGUUAGGACGAGUGGUAGCGAACUGAUAAGGAAGAGGUCCCUGGUUCGAGUCCAGGCAGGCCCACCA
Molecule: transfer RNA, 68 nt
Filed under: uncultured Rubrobacteraceae bacterium
Lineage: Bacteria; Bacillati; Actinomycetota; Rubrobacteria; Rubrobacterales; Rubrobacteraceae
Description: tRNA-Pseudo-???
Source: RNAcentral